This 252-nucleotide ribosomal RNA is filed under the name uncultured bacterium. RNAcentral's name for it is "partial 16S ribosomal RNA". It matches the Rfam family "Bacterial small subunit ribosomal RNA", at positions 524 to 776 of the family's 1533-position model. The record is from RNAcentral.
UACGGAGGAUGCGAGCGUUAUCCGGAUUUAUUGGGUUUAAAGGGUGCGCAGGCGGUCUGUUAAGUCAGCGGUCAAAGCCCGGGGCUCAACCCCGGCCCGCCGUUGAAACUGGCAGUCUCGAGUUGGAGAGAAGUAUGCGGAAUGCGCGGUGUAGCGGUGAAAUGCAUAGAUAUCGCGCAGAACUCCGAUUGCGAAGGCAGCAUGCCGGCUCCACACUGACGCUGAGGCACGAAAGCGUGGGGAGCAAACAGG